This is a long non-coding RNA of Clupea harengus (Atlantic herring), 415 nucleotides long. The record is from Ensembl. NCBI's taxonomy places the organism in Eukaryota, Metazoa, Chordata, Actinopteri, Clupeiformes, Clupeidae.
GGCGGAGUGUGAUUCGCCAAUUAAAAGUUAAUUGUUGUCUGGUUUGUCUUGUGGUGAGAUGGUUAGGUAUGAUGGAAUGGUGGGGGUCUGGUAUGUCUCUAGGUGUGAGUGUGUGUACUAAUGCCUAUGAAGGAGGACAGGUAUGUCUCUAGGUGUGAGUGUGUGUACUAAUGCCUAUGAAGGAGGACAGGUAUGUCUCUAGGUGUGGGUGUGUGUACUAAUGCCUAUGAAGGAGGACAGGUAUGUCUCUAGGUGUGGGUGUGUGUACUAAUGCCUAUGAAGGGGGACUGGUAUGUCUCUAGGUGUGAGUGUGUGUACUAAUGCCUAUGAAGGGGGACUGGUAUGUCUCUAGGUGUGGGUGUGUGUACUAAUGCCUAUGAAGGGGGACUGGUAUGUCUCUGUUUGCCCUGUACCC